Non-coding RNA from Doryrhamphus excisus (bluestripe pipefish), 2040 nucleotides. The record is from RefSeq and is a predicted model, not a curated record. Lineage: Eukaryota; Metazoa; Chordata; Actinopteri; Syngnathiformes; Syngnathidae.
AGCAUCAAUGCCGUCACUUGAUUGAUAUACAGGGCAGCCAUUCAGAUGACAACUGAAUGUUGCCCUUCGGGCGACCAAUCAAAUCAAACAACGUCUCUAAGUGCAGCAGAACUUACGAUGUCAGCCUAUCAUCCAUCCCCGUUACUUGAUUGACAUACAGGACAACCAGUCAGAUGACAACUGAAUUUUGACCUUUAGGUCACCGCUCAUGCGUAAACAACGAUGCAAAGUGCUAAGCUAGUCGGCGAAUUGCGUCAGAUUUUAAGCCCUUGCUAAAGUUUAUGGUCACUAAAAUGAGUGAAGGAGCUGGACCAAGUAAAAAGGCAAAAACAUAUCACUCCCAUACGGAAUGGGAGGUGGACUUUUUUUUCACAAUGUCUUUUUCGAAGUGCGUUUGCCUGGCUAACCUGGCUAUCAGCAGCUACUGUCCGGACUAUGCAUCCCUGGCUGAUUCAAUUCAGUGCAAGUCAUCAAAGUAAACUCAGAAGGCCUCCAGCUCUCAGUCCAGGAUCAUACGGGACUCUGAAAUUCUGCGGAAGACCAGCUGAUUGAAGGGUCUCCAGCUUCUGACGCAUCUGAAACACCACUGACAAGAAUACAGCAUUUAUCAGUGGCUCCAUUACAUCAUGACUUUGAGAUUCCAGCCCAGAAAGUUCACUUUGACACCUUGUGCUGUGACGUCGUACUUGUCCGGAGAUAUGGUCUUGAUUUCUAGGGUGACCUUCUGUAGAGCCUCAGUCACCUCCACCUGGAUAGCACCAGAUGAUUAUGGAUACAAUCCAAAUCAAUGUCAUUCAAUAACACACAUACAUAUAGUAGUUUUCCCUAUCAUCGACACAUGCAUGCAUAGUUAUAUACGUAGUUGCUCACCUGUUUACCAAAAUCCUGCAACAUACAUUCGCCGCACCCUCGUAGGUACGCCUCCAGUAGGACCGCAUAUCUCUGCUGGUAAUGCAUGGACUGGGCGAUCUCACUCCGCAGGAACCAGAAGAGGAAAUGGCCGAUACGCUUACUCUGAGAAGACAAAAAAGGGUUGAAAAUAGAAACAAUGUAUGAAAGCUUUAACGUUCUUGUGAGAUUAAAAUGCGAUAUUUGUCGUUCAGAAAAAGAUAUACCAUCGGCAUUAAAAUAAACAAUUAAUCACGCAAUAAAUGAAAAUGAGCUUCAUAAUAUUGCCAGGUGCAUGGAACAGCCAGGAAGAAGGAUCACUCUGUGCAUUGAUUUCAGCAACUUAGCACAUUUGUGCCAUAGAACAAGGGCGUGAAUGGAGUGAGCCCAGGAAAAACACAGGAAAAAUUCAAUUAAUCGACUGUAAUAUACUGUCACAUAUUUUUUCUUUGUAUCUUAUUUGUAUCGUUCUCACAGACCCUGUCUUGUGUAUCGUCUCGUCUCGUGAACCGGGUGUCACGUGACACCCCUUUGAGUGAAGCAUGCUAUUUGGGAUUAAGUAAACUUACCCUCAGAGCUCUCUUGAGCAGGAACCUAACCAGGGCGCUAUCAUGAUAUGGCUCAAACUUGACAGCCUGCAGUAAACACAAACACCCAUACAGACAUAUCAACUAGUUAAUAGGGAUAGUCCAUUUAAACAGCAAGGAAUAACAUCCAGGAAACAAUAACUAGUUGAUCAGGUGGGAAAAAAUACCCUUAAGGUGAUGACUCCAAACAAGAAAAGCUUUGUCAACAGCAAACAUUCUUCAUGUUUACAAAUAGAAAAAUCACAUGGCAUUUGGAACGUCAGAGAAUGCAGGAUUAUACAAGUAAAGCCUCAGAGAAGAUAUUUCUUGUUAACUCAUUUGUGUGAUUUUAUGUAUUGACAGAAAACGAGACAAGCAGGUUAGCUUGACAAAGAAGUACCUGGACAAGUUGCAGGAGGUAUCUGAGCACGUCGUCGUCCUCCAGGGUCUCCAACUUCCUCACGGCCAUUGAGCGAACCUGAGCAUCCGAGUAGUGGCAAUCGAGUAGUUGCAUAGCCAAGCCAACAUCCAAAACACUGAACAAAACAAGGCCAAAGGAAAAAGUGAUGACCGAUACGACACCAGG